UUGAACGCUGGCGGCAUGCCUUACACAUGCAAGUCGAACGGUAACAGGUCUUCGGAUGCUGACGAGUGGCGAACGGGUGAGUAAUGCAUCGGAACGUGCCUAUUUGUGGGGGAUAACGUAGCGAAAGUUACGCUAAUACCGCAUACGCCCUGAGGGGGAAAGCGGGGGAUUCGUAAGAACCUCGCGCAAUUAGAGCGGCCGAUGUCGGAUUAGCUAGUUGGUGGGGUAAAGGCUCACCAAGGCGACGAUCCGUAGCGGGUCUGAGAGGAUGAUCCGCCACACUGGGACUGAGACACGGCCCAGACUCCUACGGGAGGCAGCAGUGGGGAAUUUUGGACAAUGGGCGCAAGCCUGAUCCAGCCAUGCCGCGUGAGUGAAGAAGGCCUUCGGGUUGUAAAGCUCUUUCAGACGGAAAGAAAUCGGGCGCGUGAAUAGCGUGCCUGGAUGACGGUACUGUCAGAAGAAGCACCGGCUAACUACGU
RNAcentral lists this ribosomal RNA (482 nucleotides) under uncultured bacterium. RNAcentral describes it as "bacterial SSU rRNA". It matches the Rfam family "Bacterial small subunit ribosomal RNA", at positions 30 to 506 of the family's 1533-position model. The record is from RNAcentral.